AGAAAGUUAGUCUAACUAAGACAGUUGAUUUCGACUCAACAGAUUAUAGCCGUCACCCUAUAACUUUCUU
RNAcentral lists this transfer RNA (70 nucleotides) under Erythrocercus mccallii. Its description in RNAcentral is "tRNA-Arg". Lineage: Eukaryota; Metazoa; Chordata; Aves; Passeriformes; Dicruridae. The record is from RNAcentral.